AUGAGCCGCCGGAUCUCCCAGUGAGGAGGCCAGGGCCGCCGGAUCCGGUGACCCCGGUCUCCUCGCCGGCGGAUCCGGCGC
RNAcentral lists this microRNA precursor (81 nucleotides) under Oryza sativa Indica Group (long-grained rice). RNAcentral describes it as "osa-MIR1846c". It matches the Rfam family "MIR1846 microRNA precursor family", at positions 14 to 94 of the family's 110-position model. Lineage: Eukaryota; Viridiplantae; Streptophyta; Magnoliopsida; Poales; Poaceae. The record is from RNAcentral.